Molecule: long non-coding RNA, 353 nt
Filed under: Monodelphis domestica (gray short-tailed opossum)
Lineage: Eukaryota; Metazoa; Chordata; Mammalia; Didelphimorphia; Didelphidae
Description: lncRNA (ENSMODG00000045933.1)
Source: RNAcentral
CCACUCCCAUUUUCUAUAAGGGUCCUGGAUGCAGAGUGUUGAAACUUGAAGGCUUUUGGCUCCAUUCUAGAGCUUGUCCUGUAAAAAUAGCACCACAGCUGAAAUCAUUCCCAAAAUAAACUUGGGAGCCAUGCUGCAAGCUCAGCAGUCACUGUCUGUGCGAAGUGGGCACCGCGCUUCACUCAGGAUCCAUGGCUGCCGAGGGCACCUGCCAAGCUCAGUUGCAAAGAAAAUACUAAUAAAUGAAUAAUUAAACCAAACAUGGAAUAAUUCUCCAGCUAGAAAUGGAAAAUAUGAACUAUUUAUAUCUGGACUAAGAAAACAUCUUUUAAAAUGUUUCUGGAAUGAUUUGA